RNAcentral lists this long non-coding RNA (419 nucleotides) under Sorghum bicolor (sorghum). RNAcentral's name for it is "long non-coding RNA (SBIC_LNC011988)". Lineage: Eukaryota; Viridiplantae; Streptophyta; Magnoliopsida; Poales; Poaceae. The record is from RNAcentral.
AAUCGCGCAAAUCGCGAGCUCCGACCAUCACCGGCCAUGGCGCCGCCGCGGCCUGCCCAACUCUGGCCGGCCAGCUUCUUUUCCCUCUCCCUGAUCUAAUCUCAACCAUCCAAGUGCGAUCCAACGGUCUAUAUCAAAGGAUACCCUUCGGCCGCACUUUUUGCAAAAGGGCCCCCCGGGUUUUUAAAUAUGUAACCCGCGAUCCAAAACGUUUUCUCUGUUUACGCUUUCUGUCUUUGAAAACGUAAAUCCCGAAGGUUUGAUUAAAAAUACGUUUUCAGCAAAUUACCAAAUUGCCACUAGAUUUGUUUUACUCAUAAAAUAUUCAUCUUAAUUCCGUUUUGACUCGUUCAAAUUGCGUUAGAUUCGUAAUCACAAGAUCUACGUGUUAGUAACACUGUUUUCUCAGUUUGAAACUU